RNAcentral lists this ribosomal RNA (274 nucleotides) under uncultured bacterium. Its description in RNAcentral is "partial 16S ribosomal RNA". It matches the Rfam family "Bacterial small subunit ribosomal RNA", at positions 523 to 796 of the family's 1533-position model. The record is from RNAcentral.
AUACGGAGGGUGCAAGCGUUAAUCGGAAUUACUGGGCGUAAAGCGCUCGUAGGCGGCUUGUUAAGUCGGAUGUGAAAGCCCCGGGCUCAACCUGGGAACUGCAUUCGAUACUGGCAAGCUAGAGUAUAGUAGAGGCAAGUGGAAUUCCGGGUGUAGCGGUGAAAUGCGUAGAUAUCCGGAGGAACAUCAGUGGCGAAGGCGACUUGCUGGACUAAUACUGACGCUGAGGUGCGAAAGCGUGGGGAGCAAACAGGAUUAGAUACCCCAGUAGUCC